RNAcentral lists this ribosomal RNA (497 nucleotides) under uncultured bacterium. RNAcentral describes it as "bacterial SSU rRNA". It matches the Rfam family "Bacterial small subunit ribosomal RNA", at positions 28 to 514 of the family's 1533-position model. The record is from RNAcentral.
GACGAACGCUGGCGGCGCGCUUAACACAUGCAAGUCGAGCGACGAAAGGUCCUUUCGGGACCCUGAAAGCGGCGAACGGGUGAGUAACACGUGGGUAACCCACCCUCGGUUUCGGGAUAGCCCGGGGAAACCCGGAUUAAUACCGAAUAGCCUCUCCGGUCUUCGGGCUGGUGAGAAAAGGUAGCUUCGGCCUCCGACCGAGGACGGGCCCGCGGCCGAUUAGCUUGUUGGUGAGGUAACGGCUCACCAAGGCGACGAUCGGUAGCUGGCUGAGAGGACGAUCAGCCACACUGGGACUGAGACACGGCCCAGACUCCUACGGGAGGCAGCAGUGGGAAUCUUGCGCAAUGGGCGAAAGCCUGACGCAGCGACGCCGCGUGCGGGAAGAAGGCCUUAGGGUUGUAAACCGCUUUCAGGAGGGACGAAGCCACUCGGGUUAACAGCCCAGAGGGUGACGGUACCUCCAGAAGAAGCCCCGGCUAACUACGUGCCAGCCG